Gossypium arboreum is the source of this 1069-nucleotide long non-coding RNA. RefSeq lists it as uncharacterized. NCBI's taxonomy places the organism in Eukaryota, Viridiplantae, Streptophyta, Magnoliopsida, Malvales, Malvaceae. The record is from RefSeq and is a predicted model, not a curated record. The transcript has 2 exons.
CAAACAUUAGUAUUAAUGGGGCUUCUGAUAGUGUGGAAAGAAUUCUAGGAAAGGAGGGAGAGUCUUCAAAAUCUCAAUUAACAAAAGAGAUGGCAGUGGUUAAAUGGAACCAGGUACAAUAGGAAUUUAAAGGCUGGGAGUUAAAAUCCACUAUAAGGAGAGUCAUAGUCGAGUUCAAAAGGUUAUGGAAACCAUUGUAGUCAAUCUUUAUUCCAUGUAGAGCCUGUUUGUUGGAAAAGGGGUGUAAUGUUGACCCGUACUGUUCAGGCUGUGGCGAGGCAAAGAUAGUAAACCACAUCUUCCUUGAAUGAAAUAAAGUUGCCGAGAAAUCAGACUGGGAAAGCACAAGAAGGAAGAGGAGAAUAGUAGAUCAAUCAUCAUCAAUAGCAAGAAAUGAAGAACCCAACAUAAUUAGUGAAUUACCUUACAACUGAUUCAGCCUCUUUUCUUUUUUGAAGAUAAAAUUGGUUUAAUCUCUUUUCUGGACCCAUAUGAUUCGGUUCUGAUAAAAAGUUUAUGCCAACCCAUUAAAGCCAAUACAGAGUAUAGCUUAAGGAUAAACCCAUGAAACCACGGUCUAUUAAACCCCAACAUUCUUCUCAGCCGCUCUUAACCUUUGUUCCUCCCAAGUUCGACACCGAUUCAAAAAUGACAACCCACUUCAAGAGGGGCUGGAAGCGAUGGGCACCGGAAGCAUCCUGGAGAUAAGCACCAUCACAAGAUACCCCGCACAGGCACCAUCCAUGCUCUUUUUUUGCCAUGUCUUCAUCCUCUCCCACCCCGUUUCUCUUGCUCCGCCUCUCGCCAAGGAGCAAGGAACGACGAAUCUCAAAGAGGCGGUGUUGCUAAUGGCACGGACCUUAAAAGCUUGAUGAACGAGUUCUAAAAAAAAAAAAAAAAAAAAAGAUGAAGAAGGCGAUGCUUCAAAACUGGUUCAAUCUCAUUGUUAGGAUUUAGGGUCGUUUGAAUGGAGGGAUAUCAAAAUCCAAUGUGAAAAAUAAAAAAACUUAGUUGGAAUGCCAUGUAAAAUUUCUCAAGGGAAUGGUCUAAAAGAACAAACUUUGACCCA